UUCCUUAUUGCCUGGAUGUUCCUGCUAAGAGCUCUUUUACCAUGGUGGAAAGAGGCUUAAGCAUGCUACAGAAAUGAACUGAGGCUCCCAGCCCUAACUGAGCACUGGGACAACAGCCACUCCCAAGUUGUCAGACCUUCCCCUGUUCAUACCACAUGGAGCACAAACAAGUUCUUGAUGAACGAAUAAACAAACAGAUCUACAACCAUCAGACAAGGGAGACAAAAGGAGGGAACUAUUGAUAUAUGCAACAAAUUAGAUGCAUCUCAGACAUCAUAUGGAGUGGAAGAAGCCAGCUUCCAAGGCCACAUGCAAACCUGGAAUUCUCAUGAGAAUGAUUUUGGGAUUAGGGUGAAGGAACAGUGCCCCUCAAAUGCUGUACUGGACAAACAUCUCCAUGCCUAUCACCUUUGGAUCUUGGAGUUUCCAUGAAGAAUGCAUGAAGAAGAAUGUUCUCACUUUUUUGUUUGUUUGUUUUGUUUUUGAGAUGAGGUCUUGUUGUGUUGUCCAAGCUGACCUCGUGAUCCUCCUGCUUCAGCCUCUGGACUCCACUGGGAGAGGACUACUAGAAGUUUGCUCUGGCGUCUCCUGAACCCUCGCCUCCUCUUCCUUUGCUAGUUUGAAUCUGUAUCCUUCACUGUAAUAAACCAUGA
This is a long non-coding RNA of Heterocephalus glaber (naked mole-rat), 653 nucleotides long. RefSeq lists it as uncharacterized. The record is from RefSeq and is a predicted model, not a curated record. Lineage: Eukaryota; Metazoa; Chordata; Mammalia; Rodentia; Bathyergidae.